GGCCAGGUGGCAGAGUGGUCUAAUGCGCUGCACUCGAAUUAAUAGUGAUAAUUGUUAUGCAGUUCCUUCGGGAGCGUCUGUUCGAAUCAGGCCCUGGUCG
Xylaria sp. FL1777 is the source of this 100-nucleotide non-coding RNA. The record is from the annotation of a GenBank genome assembly. Lineage: Eukaryota; Fungi; Ascomycota; Sordariomycetes; Xylariales; Xylariaceae.